AGCAGCCGCGGUAAUUCCAGCUCCAAUAGCGUAUAUUAAAGUUGUUGCAGUUAAAAAGCUCGUAGUUGAAUUUCGGAACCGAUGGAUCGGUCACGCCAUUCGGUGUGUACUGGUUUAAUUGGUUCUCACCUUCUAAGGAACCGUGAUGUCAUUAAUUUGGUGUCGCGGGGAAUUAGGACUGUUACCUUGAAAAAAUUAGAGUGUUUAAAGCAAGCUCACGCUUGAAUACACUAGCAUGGAAUAAUGAAAUAGGACAUUGUAUUCUAUUUUGUUGGUUUCUAGGAUCGAUGUAAUGAUUAAUAGGGAUAGUUGGGGGCAUUAGUAUUCAAUUGUCAGAGGUGAAAUUCUUGGAUUUAUUGAAGACUAACUACUGCGAAAGCAUUUGCCAAGGAUGUUUUCAUUAAUCAAGAACGAAAGUUAGGGGAUCGAAGACGAUCAGAUACCGUCGUA
RNAcentral lists this ribosomal RNA (450 nucleotides) under uncultured Glomeromycotina. Its description in RNAcentral is "SSU rRNA". It matches the Rfam family "Eukaryotic small subunit ribosomal RNA", at positions 569 to 1022 of the family's 1831-position model. The record is from RNAcentral. Lineage: Eukaryota; Fungi; Glomeromycota.